RNAcentral lists this ribosomal RNA (497 nucleotides) under uncultured bacterium. RNAcentral describes it as "partial 16S ribosomal RNA". It matches the Rfam family "Bacterial small subunit ribosomal RNA", at positions 28 to 507 of the family's 1533-position model. The record is from RNAcentral.
GAUGAACGCUGGCGGCGUGCCUAAUACAUGCAAGUCGAGCGAACGGACGAGAAGCUUGCUUCUCUGAUGUUAGCGGCGGACGGGUGAGUAACACGUGGAUAACCUACCUAUAAGACUGGGAUAAUUUCGGGAAACCGGAGUUAAUACCGGAUAAUAUUUUGAACCGCAUGGUUCAAAAGUGAAAGACGGUCUUGCUGUCACUUAUAGAUGGAUCCGCGCUGCAUUAGCUAGUUGGUAAGGUAACGGCUUACCAAGGCAACGAUGCAUAGCCGACCUGAGAGGGUGAUCGGCCACACUGGAACUGAGACACGGUCCAGACUCCUACGGGAGGCAGCAGUAGGGAAUCUUCCGCAAUGGGCGAAAGCCUGACGGAGCAACGCCGCGUGAGUGAUGAAGGUCUUCGGAUCGUAAAACUCUGUUAUUAGGGAAGAACAUAUGUGUAAGUAACUGUGCACAUCUUGACGGUACCUAAUCAGAAAGCCACGGCUAACUACGUG